Molecule: small nuclear RNA, 141 nt
Filed under: Heliconius melpomene (postman butterfly)
Lineage: Eukaryota; Metazoa; Arthropoda; Insecta; Lepidoptera; Nymphalidae
Description: U2 spliceosomal RNA
Rfam family: U2 spliceosomal RNA
About the family: U2 is a small nuclear RNA (snRNA) component of the spliceosome (involved in pre-mRNA splicing). Complementary binding between U2 snRNA (in an area lying towards the 5' end but 3' to hairpin I) and the branchpoint sequence (BPS) of the intron results the bulging out of an unpaired adenosine, on the BPS, which initiates a nucleophilic attack at the intronic 5' splice site, thus starting the first of two transesterification reactions that mediate splicing.
Source: RNAcentral
UAAGCUUUUAUUUUAUUUAUUUCAAAAUGUUUAAUUAUAAAGCUUUUUAUUUUUGUAAACUGGCAGGAUGCUGGGGGCUCGCUCCACUCCUGUCGGGGGUCGACCCGGCAUUGCAGUGCCGCCGGGAUCGGCCAACAAAAU